CGAAUGCUGACAUAAGUAACGAUAAAGCGGGUGAAAAGCCCGCUCGCCGGAAGACCAAGGGUUCCUGUCCAACGUUAAUCGGGGCAGGGUGAGUCGACCCCUAAGGCGAGGCCGAAAGGCGUAGUCGAUGGGAAACAGGUUAAUAUUCCUGUACUUGGUGUUACUGCGAAGGGGGGACGGAGAAGGCUAUGUUGGCCGGGCGACGGUUGUCCCGGUUUAAGCGUGUAGGCUGGUUUUCCAGGCAAAUCCGGAAAAUCAAGGCUGAGGCGUGAUGACGAGGCACUACGGUGCUGAAGCAACAAAUGCCCUGCUUCCAGGAAAAGCCUCUAAGCAUCAGGUAACAUCAAAUCGUACCCCAAACCGACACAGGUGGUCAGGUAGAGAAUACCAAGGCGCUUGAGAGAACUCGGGUGAAGGAACUAGGCAAAAUGGUGCCGUAACUUCGGGAGAAGGCACGCUGAUAUGUAGGUGAAGUCCCUCGCGGAUGGAGCUGAAAUCAGUCGAAGAUACCAGCUGGCUGCAACUGUUUAUUAAAAACACAGCACUGUGCAAACACGAAAGUGGACGUAUACGGUGUGACGCCUGCCCGGUGCCGGAAGGUUAAUUGAUGGGGUUAGCGCAAGCGAAGCUCUUGAUCGAAGCCCCGGUAAAC
RNAcentral lists this ribosomal RNA (652 nucleotides) under Escherichia coli. RNAcentral's name for it is "partial 23S ribosomal RNA". It matches the Rfam family "Bacterial large subunit ribosomal RNA", at positions 1291 to 1928 of the family's 2925-position model. The record is from RNAcentral. Lineage: Bacteria; Pseudomonadati; Pseudomonadota; Gammaproteobacteria; Enterobacterales; Enterobacteriaceae.